UGCAGUCUGAAACUCGAGUGCAUGAAGCUGGAAUCGCUAGUAAUCGCAAAUCAGAAUGUUGCGGUGAAUACGUUCCCGGGUCUUGUACACACCGCCCGUCACACCAUGGGAGUUGGAAAUGCCCGAAGUCAGUGACCCAACCUAAGGGAGGGAGCUGCCGAAGGCAGGUUCGAUGACUGGGGUGAAGUCGUAACAAGGUAGC
RNAcentral lists this ribosomal RNA (202 nucleotides) under uncultured bacterium. RNAcentral's name for it is "partial 16S ribosomal RNA". It matches the Rfam family "Bacterial small subunit ribosomal RNA", at positions 1299 to 1500 of the family's 1533-position model. The record is from RNAcentral.